This 24-nucleotide unclassified non-coding RNA is filed under the name Mus musculus (house mouse). RNAcentral describes it as "oocyte_clustered_small_RNA1417". Lineage: Eukaryota; Metazoa; Chordata; Mammalia; Rodentia; Muridae. The record is from RNAcentral.
AUGAGAAGCUGAGGAGGGAAAUGG